This 386-nucleotide ribosomal RNA is filed under the name uncultured bacterium. RNAcentral's name for it is "bacterial SSU rRNA". It matches the Rfam family "Bacterial small subunit ribosomal RNA", at positions 28 to 416 of the family's 1533-position model. The record is from RNAcentral.
AUUGAACGCUGGCGGCAUGCUUUACACAUGCAAGUCGAGCGGCAGCGCGGGGGCAACCCUGGCGGCGAGCGGCGAACGGGUGAGUAAUGCAUCGGAACGUACCCUGGAGUGGGGGAUAACGCCGCGAAAGCGGCGCUAAUACCGCAUAUGCUCUGAGGAGGAAAGUGGGGGACCGCAAGGCCUCACGCUCUGGGAGCGGCCGAUGUCCGAUUAGCUAGUUGGUGGGGUAAAGGCUUACCAAGGCGACGAUCGGUAGCUGGUCUGAGGGGAUGAUCAGCCACACUGGGACUGAGACACGGCCCAGACUCCUACGGGAGGCAGCAGUGGGGAAUUUUGGACAAUGGGGGCAACCCUGAUCCAGCCAUGCCGCGUGAGUGAAGAAGGCC